UUCUUGGCCAGCUGCCCAGGGCACCUGGCUUGGUAGGAGGCUGGAGAGGCACUAGAGCCCGCUGAGGAUGUCCGGCCCUCGCACUCUCUGGCUGCCCUGGGUGCACCCACCUGCCAAAUGCAGACUUCUCAGCACCCCUCAAGCCUGCCUGAUUCCCCUGCUGGGAAGAGCACGCCAGCACUCCUGACCUGGAGCUGUCCUUCUCAGCACGUGGUCUCAGAGAGCGGGCGGUGGGUGAGACCAUGCGGGGGUCGUUGGGUAUAAAAUGGAUUGAUCUUGAGCUGUGGUUCAUCUCCGUGAGCACCAGAGCGUGGAGCUAAAAGAUGGCUUCAUCUACGGAGGACAAAAUUUACUUUCAAUAUCUCACUUUAUGGGGGAUAUGAACUGUGAGUUUAGGAGCCAAGUCCAGCAUGCUAAAAAUCUUCCAAGCUGUUUCAUUUUCUUAUCUCCAAGGAACCGGUGAGAAUAUGUGGUCCCAUACUUUUGCUUUCCUUUCCUACCUUCUCAUCCUGGCCUGGGCCUCCACCACCACAUUUGACAGAAAUGAAAAUAGCAGACUCUUGUCUCAUUCCUGACAUCAGGGGAAAACUUUUGACAUUUUAUCAGGAAGUGUGUUGGCUGUAGGCUUUAGGCUUUUUGAUGAUAUCUGUAUCAUAUUAAGAAAGUUACUUUCUCAGACUUCUUUUACUUUUACAGCCUGGGCAACAGAGCAAGA
RNAcentral lists this long non-coding RNA (715 nucleotides) under Homo sapiens (human). RNAcentral describes it as "non-protein coding lnc-ANKMY1-5:7". Lineage: Eukaryota; Metazoa; Chordata; Mammalia; Primates; Hominidae. The record is from RNAcentral.